This 253-nucleotide ribosomal RNA is filed under the name uncultured bacterium. RNAcentral describes it as "partial 16S ribosomal RNA". It matches the Rfam family "Bacterial small subunit ribosomal RNA", at positions 524 to 776 of the family's 1533-position model. The record is from RNAcentral.
UACGGAGGGCGCUAGCGUUGUUCGGAAUUACUGGGCGUAAAGCGCACGUAGGUGACUUUUUAAGUCAGUGGUGAAAUACCGGGGCUCAACCUCGGAACUGCCUUUGAAACUGGAGAGCUAGAAUCUUGGAGAGGCGAGUGGAAUUCCGAGUGUAGAGGUGAAAUUCGUAGAUAUUCGGAAGAACACCAGUGGCGAAGGCGAAUCGCUGGACAAGUAUUGACGCUGAGGUGCGAAAGCGUGGGGAGCAAACAGG